UGGGGAAUAUUGGACAAUGGGCGAAAGCCUGAUCCAGCCAUGCCGCGUGUGUGAAGAAGGCCUUAUGGUUGUAAAGCACUCUAAGCGAGGAGGAGGGUACUGGUAUUAAUACUACCAGGUACUGGACGUUACUCGCAGAAUAAGCACCGGCUAACUCUGUGCCAGCAGCCGCGGUAAUACAGAGGGUGCGAGCGUUAAUCGGAUUUACUGGGCGUAAAGCGUGCGUAGGCGGCUAAUUGAGUCGGAUGUGAAAUCCCCGAGCUUAACUUGGGAAUGGCAUUCGAUACUGGUUAGCUAGAGUGGGGGAGAGGAGGGUAGAAUUCCAGGUGUAGCGGAGAAAUGCGUAGAGAUCUGGAGGAAUACCGAUGGCGAAGGCAGCCAACUGGCCUAACACUGACGCUGAGGUACGAAAGCAUGGGGAGCAAACAGG
RNAcentral lists this ribosomal RNA (430 nucleotides) under Pseudomonadota bacterium. Its description in RNAcentral is "Proteobacteria bacterium partial 16S ribosomal RNA". It matches the Rfam family "Bacterial small subunit ribosomal RNA", at positions 355 to 776 of the family's 1533-position model. The record is from RNAcentral. Lineage: Bacteria; Pseudomonadati; Pseudomonadota.